CCGAGUUUACAACUCCCAAACCCCUGUGAACAUACCAUUUGUUGCCUCGGCGGUGCCUGCUUCGGCAGCCCGCCAGAGGACCCAAACCCUUGAUUUUAUACAGUAUCUUCUGAGUAAAUGAUUAAAUAAAUCA
This 133-nucleotide unclassified non-coding RNA is filed under the name uncultured Ilyonectria. RNAcentral describes it as "sequence contains ITS1". The record is from RNAcentral. Lineage: Eukaryota; Fungi; Ascomycota; Sordariomycetes; Hypocreales; Nectriaceae.